GAACCGAGACGACUUACUGAGUGAGAAUACAAUAUCACAUCUUUGCAAUCUUUGCCUUGUUUAAUUUUCCUUAAUCAAGGUCAUGUGCAAAUUAAGUUAGGUAAUAAAAAUGUCGACAUCAAAGAAACGUUGAGAAAGGUAAAUAUUAACCUGGUCAUCUGGCCAUGGUUGAUUUUUGGUAUCCAGCCGGGUUAUUAGGUACGUGUGAAGUUAAGGAUGACAGUGGUAAUUAAGAAUACUAGAAUUUCUUCUAAACUUUAACAACAAAAUGUUGAUGUUAUGAUGUUAAUUCAGAAACGCGAACGAAGACAUUACUUAUUAAAGGUGUAUGAAUAUUCAUUGAUUGAGAUGAUAAACAUUUGAAGACAUUAAAAAAAAAACGCACGUUAAAACAUUAACCCAC
RNAcentral lists this long non-coding RNA (403 nucleotides) under Mytilus galloprovincialis (Mediterranean mussel). Lineage: Eukaryota; Metazoa; Mollusca; Bivalvia; Mytilida; Mytilidae. The record is from RNAcentral.